This is a long non-coding RNA of Galeopterus variegatus (Sunda flying lemur), 269 nucleotides long. RefSeq lists it as uncharacterized. NCBI's taxonomy places the organism in Eukaryota, Metazoa, Chordata, Mammalia, Dermoptera, Cynocephalidae. The transcript has 2 exons. The record is from RefSeq and is a predicted model, not a curated record.
GAUCCUCCAUAGUGUGGGUGGGUCUCAUCCAAGCAGCUGAAGGCCUAAGAGAAGAAAGACAGAGGUCCCAAAGGCAGAGGGAGUUCUGCCAGCGAUGCCUUUGGACUGAAGCUGUGGCAUCAGCCCUGCCCUGGGUGUCCCGCCUGCCAGCCUGCCCUGCAGGCUUCAGACUCACCAGUUCCAUGGUUCCGUGAGCUAAUUCCUUACAAUCAGUCUCUCUGAGUAGUUCGUGGGAAAAUAGAAUUAAAAGAUAAUAUGAAUUCUGUGAA